ACAAAUCAAAGUUUGGGUUGUUGAUAUUUGAUGUAUGUACUAUAUAUAUAUAUAUAUCAAUUAUCAUACACACCUAACAUUUGUGCUCCAGGCAUUUCGUCUGGGUGCAAUUAUAUAUAUAUUCAUUAUUGUCAGUUGUUUUGUCUAUUUUAAAUUUAUAAUC
RNAcentral lists this unclassified non-coding RNA (163 nucleotides) under uncultured fungus. RNAcentral describes it as "sequence contains ITS1". The record is from RNAcentral. Lineage: Eukaryota; Fungi.